AUACGUAGGUGGCGAGCGUUGUCCGGAAUUACUGGGUGUAAAGGGCGUGUAGGCGGGGAUGCAAGUCAGAUGUGAAAUUCCGGGGCUUAACUCCGGAGGUGCAUCUGAAAUUGUAUUUCUUGAGUGCUGGAGAGGGAAGCGGAAUUCCUAGUGUAGCGGUGAAAUGCGUAGAUAUUAGGAGGAACACCAGUGGCGAAGGCGGCUUUCUGGACAGUAACUGACGCUGAGGCGCGAAAGCGUGGGGAGCAAACAGGAUUAGAUACCCUGGUAGUCCACGAUGUAAACGAUGGAUACUAGGUGUGGGAGGUAUCGACCCCUUCCGUGCCGGAGUUAACACAAUAAGUAUCCCACCUGGGGAGUACGGCCGCAAGGUUGAA
This 377-nucleotide ribosomal RNA is filed under the name uncultured bacterium. RNAcentral's name for it is "bacterial SSU rRNA". It matches the Rfam family "Bacterial small subunit ribosomal RNA", at positions 523 to 898 of the family's 1533-position model. The record is from RNAcentral.